AAAGAAAGUAAUAAAUAAUAUUAUAUAACGCUCACCAAUACACUAAACAUAUAUAGAAUAUUAAAUACGUAUUUAGAAUAUUCGGAUUGGUACGAAUGAACUGUCAUGCGCAUGUACGCAUCUCGCUAUUUUGCACGCCAGUGCACGCGUCUGCACGCGCAACGCCGUAACAUGAUGAUAUGCGCGAGUUAUAUUAAAAGCAAGAGAGGAAGAAACACUAUUUGAGCGUAAAGUAGAAGAGUAGACGAGUAAGGAAAGAGAGAUCAACCUCACAGCUUGGAAUUUACAGUGUGCCGAACAGAAUAUGUGGACCUUGAAGCUCAGCGAACCAUUAUAUGUAUAGAGAAUUGACAGAGCAAUUCAUAUCAAAAGGAUUAUCUAAAGGUGUACUUCCUAGUUCUUCAAGUAUGUUAUUUUAUGGCAUUAUCUUAUGGCAGGCUAGGUAAGAGAAUAAUGACAAAUGUUAUAAUUUUAUUUUAAUAUUGUAUUGCAACUGUGUGGCUCUUAAAGGUAUCGUACAACCAUCUUUUUUAGAUUACUGAAAUAAACAAAAAGCGUGAAAUCUGAUCUGAAACAAUUACAACAAAGUAUACAGACUAAAUAUCACUCAACUAACCUGCCGAUGAUGUGGUCACAGG
This 638-nucleotide long non-coding RNA is filed under the name Monomorium pharaonis (pharaoh ant). RNAcentral describes it as "uncharacterized LOC118647040". Lineage: Eukaryota; Metazoa; Arthropoda; Insecta; Hymenoptera; Formicidae. The record is from RNAcentral.